This 458-nucleotide long non-coding RNA is filed under the name Chinchilla lanigera (long-tailed chinchilla). Its description in RNAcentral is "lncRNA (ENSCLAG00000027329.1)". Lineage: Eukaryota; Metazoa; Chordata; Mammalia; Rodentia; Chinchillidae. The record is from RNAcentral.
UAUCUCCCCUUUUCUUUCUUAUUUUGAGGCAGAGUGUUGCUAAGCUGCUAAGUUUCCCAGGCUGCGCUUGAAAUUUUGAUCCUGUGGCCUGCCUCUUCUCCACCAAUUUCUGCCACCCGUCCUUACCUCAUGGAGGCACCAAGGUUUUGAUUGCUGUCACCAUAGGGCUCCAGCUCAGUGGGCCUUCCAGGCUCCCUUGACGACGUUGGAUGGAGCAGCCUGGCUCUCAGGACAAGGGCAGUUCUCUCUCUGCAGGGUGGUGACUGGGCUCCUUCCCUGCCUGUGGAACCACGGGAAGCUCAGAGUGGCGAAUAGUACUGAGAUUGCCUGAAAAACGCUGUUGCUCUGAGCACCAGCAAAUGCCUUCCCUUUCAUCCCAGGCUAAAGGAGGCAGAAAACUCUGGUAAGUGCCUUAAUAAGUGGCUGUCAUCCGCUCAACAAUAGUAUUAAAAACUAUC